This 1956-nucleotide long non-coding RNA is filed under the name Schistocerca americana (American grasshopper). RNAcentral's name for it is "uncharacterized LOC124552422, transcript variant X1". Lineage: Eukaryota; Metazoa; Arthropoda; Insecta; Orthoptera; Acrididae. The record is from RNAcentral.
UCAGUUACUUAUGUGGUGUUGGUGGGAAAGGGACUGGACUGUAAAAAGUGGCACCCUGCUGCUGUGUAUUGUAAAACCGUGUAAUUGUGUUUUAGGCACUUGGUGGUGAAUUAAUGGAUGACUAAAAAUGUUACUGCACUUCUCUCCCAUUCAUUGUGUUACAGGUAGACUGCAUAAAUAUUUUCCAUUCGUAAUUCAUGAAUUGCUGCAUUUGCAGAGUGGGCUGCACCGAGUGGAACCACUUAACGCACAUCCACAGUACAUCUUCCGAGAUAGGUGUGGCUAUGUCUGAUGGAAUGUGACUGUUAAUAUUGAAGUCUAUAACAGUUAUCUGCUGUAACGCAUUGCUUGACUUAUGUUGAAAUAUCUGAACAACUGUUAUAGUCUUGGUGACCUACUUUUGUUGCAGUGGAUUAAUCCUCUGAGCCUCAUCGUAUUUUUGGAGAACUGAGGCAGGGUGAUGCAUUUGAUAACCCUCGUGCUGUGAAAAGUAUUCCAGCUUGUGACAAUGGAGACAAUGAAAUCUACAAUGUCCUGUACAUAUUGACAGUGUGUCCUAUUUGGAAGAGUCUCUUCAGCGUGGUAGACAAUUGACAGUUCCAGCUGUUGAACUUUUUUACAUGAUAUGAGUAGCUCACUCAACAACUGCAAAUAAGUACCCAGUAAACUGAAAAUAACUCCACUGUGUAAACAUGAGCUCAGUGAAGUUAUUCUGUCCAUUUGCACAAUACAAAUGGACAGGAAAUGCUGGGGAGCAGCACCUGUGGUGGGGGAAGCUGCCUUUCCCGUAACGGAUCACUAACAAUCAGUUUCUCCUCUUGCAGUGUAGAACAUUGUGCAGAGAUUUACAUAUGUCCAGUUCAUGUACAUUCCCUGCAUUAGUGUUGUUAGUAACUUGUAUCUGCAUUCUGUGUAGUGUUAACUCAUUUUGUGCAAAAUAAACCCUCCCCACGGACAUCUGCGCGCUGUGUCACCAGCGAUUCGUGUGGCGUAUUGUGGACAGAGAACUUUGUGAUGUACCCUGUAGUUGCUUCUUGUGACGUAGCGAGGGGGAUCAACUGCUUAACCUUCAGUUUGCUUACCUAGGAAGGAGGGAAGUACAUUAAUUUUUUACCAUUUGAACAAUAUUUUUAGUGCUGUAAUUUGCAAUUUUUUUCAUCCUCUGCAAACUAUUAGUCCCAGAGAAAAAGUGACUAGAACCUUUUUUGGCAGGGAAGUGAAUGCAGGUUAAUUUUGUAUUGGGGAAGAAUUUCCCCAGGAUCCGUUGUUUUUGAGUCAUUCAAGAACAAAAAUAAAAAAUGACCUUUAAACCUACCCCCACACCAAUGCUCACACUCCACAGGUCCGGGUUUUUAGUACAAUGUUUAUGACAAUAUCUCCUAGAACUGUGUAAAACUUUGUGACUACAUGACUUUUCCUCUAAUUUUCCUUCAUUGACUGGACUAAAUGUUAGUGUUUGGAACUGACACAGAUAGUGAAGGGCUUCAUCAUCAAAGGCAUUUAGCGACAGCUGUAAACAGAAUGGCAGAAGAACCUUUUGAGAGGACGGAAAAGAAACCCGAGCCUGUCAGCAUUACCUCUCCUGAAAUGUAAGAAACUGGUGGAUUCCAAGACAAAAUUGUGGAAAAUGGAGACAUCUUCAAAUAACAGAAAGAAAUAAAGGCUGAAGAGGCAGGACCACAGAUGUCAGAUGAAAGUUGCCGCAAAAAAAGGUUAAGUUGGAAAACAGUGAAAAUGAAAAUGGAUGCUUGUGCAGUGACUGAAGUUGAAGUCAUAAAUUGAGGAUAAUGAAGCUACACGAGAAAGCUCUCAGCUCUACAGUCCGAGUCUGACCGACUUGUCCGACGAGCAACUGUCGGCGGCACUGCGAUCGCAGGCCCCUCAUGGUGUGCGCUUACUCAGGCAAGUGUCGUGGGGAUUUGUUAAUGUAGAGGCUGACUGUACGCUGUAGGUGCC